This 1776-nucleotide long non-coding RNA is filed under the name Homo sapiens (human). Its description in RNAcentral is "HSALNT0186388". The record is from RNAcentral. Lineage: Eukaryota; Metazoa; Chordata; Mammalia; Primates; Hominidae.
CCCACCCUUAUCUCCCUUCACUGACUCUCUUUUCGGACUCAGCCCAACCGCAUCCAGGUUAUAGCUCCAAUCUGUGCAAUGCACUUUGAAAAUGGAGAAAGGGAACACGUCAAGGAAUACAGGAAGCCACUAGAAGCUGGAAAAAAACCAGGAGACAGAUUCUCCUCCCAGAUCAUCCAGAAGGAACCAACCCUGCUAAAACCUUGACUUUAGCUCAGUACAAAGGAUUUCAGACUUACAGCCUCCAUAAGGGUCCAUACUGCCUUUAUGAGCUGUAACACUCACCGUGAAAGUCUGCAGCUUUACUCCUGAAGCCAGCAAGAUGUAACACUCACCACAAAGGCAUGUAGCUUCACUCCUGAGCCAGCAAGACCACGAACCCACCAGAAAGAAGAAACUCUGAACACAUCUGAACAUCAGAAAGAACAAACUCCAGACAUACCACCUUUAAGAACUGUAAGACUCACUGCGAAGGUCUGCGGCUUCAUUCUUGAAGUCAGUGAGACCAAGAACCCACCAAUUCCAGACACAGUAUUUUUUUUUUAAGUUUUUACCUUCUAUUUUGUGACAUCUAUACACAACUUUAAGGAGUAAUUAUAUCGAAAGUAUACCUGUACCCCAUUUUUAUUGCAGCACUAAAUUGACAAUAACAAAGAUAUGGAAUCAACCUAAGUGUCCAUUAACAAAUGAGUGGGUAAAGAAAAUGUGUAUGUACACAAUAGAGUAUCAUUCAGUCAUAAAAAGAAUAAAAAUCUUCCAUUUGCAGCGACAUGAAUGGAAUUAAAGGUCUUUAUGGUCAGUGAGAUAAGCCAGGCCAGAAAGACAAAGAUUGCAUGUUUUCACUCAUAUGGGAGCUAGAAAAGUUGAACUCAUGGAGGUAGAGAAGGUAGAUGGUUGUUUUUUGUUGUUUUUUUAACUGUUGAGUUGUUUGAAUUUCUUCUAUAUUCUGGAUAUUAGUCCCUUGUUUGCAAAUAUUUUUUCCAUUCUAAAGAUUUUUUUCUUCACUCUGUUGAUUGUUUCUUUUGCUGUAGAGAAUAUUUUUUGUUUAAUAUAGUCUAGUUUGUGCCACUUGUCUGUCUUUCCUUUUGUUGUUUUGUGUUUUUGAAGUUUUAGCAAUAAAAUCCUUGCCUAGAGCAAUAUCCUGAAGCAUUUCCUCUACAUUUCCUUGAAGAUGUUUUAUAGCUUUGGGUCUUAUAUUUAAGUCUUUAAUACAUUUUGUGUUGAUUUUUGUAUAUGGUAAGAAAAUUGGGUCUAGUUUUAUUCUUCUGUGUAUGGGACAUCCAGUUUCACCAUUAUUUCACCAUUACCAUUUAUUGAAGGGUGCCAUAUCCACAGUGUAUGUUCUUGGCACCUUUGUCAAAAAUCAGUUGGCUGUAACUAUGUGGGUUUAUUUCUAGAUUCUCUAUUCUGUUCCAUUGGCCUAUGUGUCUGUUUUUUAUAAUAAUACCAUCCUGUUUUGACUACUAUAGCUUUGUAUUAUAAUUUGAAGUCAAGUAGUGUGGUGCCUCAGCUCUGUUCUUUUCACUCAAGAUUGCUUUGGUUUUGUGGUGCCUUUAGCAGUGCCACAGGAAUUUUAGAAUUUUUUCUCUAUCUAUCUCUCUGAAGAAUGUUAUUUAGGGAUUACAUUGGAUCUGUAGAUUGAAUUGGAUAGUAAUGUCAUAGUAACAGUAUUAAGCCUUGGGAUGUAUUUCCAUUUGUGUCCUCUUCAUUUCUUUUGUGGUUUUCUUUGAAGAGGUCUUUACCUCCAUGGUUACAUUUAUUUCUAGGGUAGUUAUC